UUGUGCCGAAUUCUGCACCCCCGCCGUAAAAUGCACCCCCUGUCGGGAGCGCGCUUACGUCACUCGGUUGCGUCACCCGUCUCGAAAAGUAGCUAAACUCGGCUAAAAUCGCCUCUUUCGGCAUAAAAAUGUACAUAACAAGGUGAAUAAUCCAAGUUGUCUUUACUUUGGAUAUAUUAAUGGAUGGAUUAAUUGUGAUUCUUCAAUGAUUUCGCCGUCAUUGCCUUUAAUGAUUUCGUCGUCAUUCAGAGACAUCAAGGAGAACGAAUGUUUGCUGCUUCACUCGACGGGAUCCAAUACAUGUAUUUUAAAAAUAUGACAUUUUCUUUAACUGUAAGAAGCUCAUGGGUGGAUGGAUGAAUACAUUAAUAAAUGAAUGCAUCUGA
This is a long non-coding RNA of Nerophis ophidion (straightnose pipefish), 386 nucleotides long. RefSeq lists it as uncharacterized. Lineage: Eukaryota; Metazoa; Chordata; Actinopteri; Syngnathiformes; Syngnathidae. The transcript is spliced from 2 exons. The record is from RefSeq and is a predicted model, not a curated record.